RNAcentral lists this ribosomal RNA (867 nucleotides) under Aphanobasidium pseudotsugae. Its description in RNAcentral is "partial large subunit ribosomal RNA". It matches the Rfam family "Eukaryotic large subunit ribosomal RNA", at positions 72 to 923 of the family's 3401-position model. The record is from RNAcentral. Lineage: Eukaryota; Fungi; Basidiomycota; Agaricomycetes; Agaricales; Radulomycetaceae.
GGAUUCCCCUAGUAACUGCGAGUGAAGCGGGAAAAGCUCAAAUUUAAAAUCUGGCGGUUUCACCGUCCGAGUUGUAAUUUAGAGAAGCGUCAUCCGUGCCGGACCGUGUACAAGUCUCCUGGAACGGAGCGUCAUAGAGGGUGAGAAUCCCGUAUAUGACACGGACUACCGGUGCAUUGUGAUGCGCUCUCAAAGAGUCGAGUUGUUUGGGAAUGCAGCUCAAAAUGGGUGGUAAAUUCCAUCUAAAGCUAAAUAUAGGCGAGAGACCGAUAGCGAACAAGUACCGUGAGGGAAAGAUGAAAAGAACUUUGGAAAGAGAGUUAAACAGUACGUGAAAUUGUUGAAAGGGAAACGCUUGAAGUCAGUCGCAUCGUUCGGGGAUCAACCUUGCUCUUUUGCUUGGGGUACUUCCCGUCCGAUGGGUCAGCAUCAGUUUUGACCGCCGGAAAAAGUUCACGGGAAUGUGGCAUCUUCGGAUGUGUUAUAGCCUGUGUUCGUAUACGGCGGUUGGGACUGAGGAAUUCAGCACGCCGCAAGGCCGGGUGUUCGCACCACGUACGUGCUUAGGAUGCUGGCAUAAUGGCUUUAAUCGACCCGUCUUGAAACACGGACCAAGGAGUCUAACAUGCCUGCGAGUGUUUGGGUGGAAAACCCGAGCGCGUAAUGAAAGUGAAAAGUUGAGAUCCCUGUCGCGGGGAGCAUCGACGCCCGGACCAGACGUUCUCUGACGGAUCCGCGGUAGAGCAUGUAUGUUGGGACCCGAAAGAUGGUGAACUAUGCCUGAAUAGGGUGAAGCCAGAGGAAACUCUGGUGGAGGCUCGUAGCGAUUCUGACGUGCAAAUCGAUCGUCGAAUUUGGGUAUAGGGG